ACCCCACUCCCCCCCCCCCUUUCUGAGUAGUUCUGCUUCCGUGCACCCGUACGGAUGAGCGAGCGGGGGCUCUGAAGUCGCUGACAGUGACGUCAUCUCAGAGGAGGGUUUCCUGACCUCAUCGCAGUAGGCACCUGCCUAUCCAGGACCCUAAGCGAUGUAAACAGUCGGGGCUUUCCUUAACCGAGCGCCGUGCGAGGGCUCAGCCAUUCCCUCUGCCUUCUUCGCGGAGCCACAGGACGCGGCCCUCGCGUGUCUGAGGCUCCAGAGGGAAAGGGGCUUGACCGAGGCCACGGAACGCGCCCUGCUUCAGCGGCGGGGUGACCUAGAACGUCAAUCGUGGAAACGCUUUAUAAUGCAUGACACAGACCAGGUGCUACACAGUGUAUAAAAUGCAUCGCAAUGUAACCCAAGACAAGCAGGAAUGGAAGUAACUGCACGGACCGAAUGCAGCAGCGAGGCAGUGCUGGCCUCUUAUCUAGAAAGGUGUUGUUGUGUCUUCUGCGUGUCGAUUGGCGGCCAGGAGUUUAACCGGGGAGGUAGGAGGAGGAUCUGGCCUGAGAGAAUAACAGAAGCAAAAGCACAGCAGGGGUUUUAAACAGAAGAACGACACAAUAUAAUACACGUUUUAAAAAAUAACUAUGGCCAGAAGAAAAUAAGAACCAUGGCUGCCUUGUGGAGAAUGGACUAUGAAAGCAGAGACCAAUUCUGAGGCUAUCUCAGUAGUCCAGGUCUCCAUGAAAACAUGAAAGUUAAAAAAAUAAUAAUAAAAUUAAAAAAAAAAAACAUGAAAGUUGUUUGGAAGAGGAGGAGGGGGCCCACGUGCAUGUCUUCCACAGCUCUCCUGAUCUAGAGUUUCUCCAGGGCAAAUGCCCACAUCACCUCUCACAUUCCCAGAACUAGCUUAGCUUCUCACACUUCAUGGCAAAAGAGGAUUGCUGUUGGCAGUCAGCAGAUUGGAUGCAACUGAUACAAUGCAGCCAGGUUAUGAAUUGGUAAAGGACUGCAGCAGGGAGCAAAAGGGAAAUGGAAAUGCCUCAAGGACCUGAAGAUUGGAGUGACCGAGGGUACCCCAGAACAGUGGCACCUGAGAGGCCCACCUGACCCCAAAGCUUUCAGAAAUGAAAAAGCUUUUCAGUUUUAAAACUUUUUCGUGUGUGGGGGUUUCCCCUCUUGGUUUGUUUUUUUUGUUUUUGCUUUUGUUUUUUUUUUUUCAUCUGUUGUGUUGAGACAGUAACCAUGAUUUAAAAGACAUAGUCACCUCUUCUAGCUCCAGGAACCAGAUGCCACUCCUUAUGGUUAUUUCACAAUGUGGCAGGAACCGGUUUGUCAAUUCUUUCUUCCCAACUAUACCCUCACAGACAUCACCAAUAAGGAAGUAAUGGAGGGCUUGUGGUACAUGACUUCUCAUCCAGAAGUCUUUAUACACUGCUUCACAUUUUGCUUUCAUGAAAAUUGUUGCAUGUGUGGUUUAACACACUCAGCUGCUGAAGCAAUGAACAGAAUUCCCAUCUUAAAGAAUGUCAAAGGUCAAUAAAAUAAUUAAAAUCAUUA
This is a long non-coding RNA of Canis lupus familiaris (dog), 1554 nucleotides long. RefSeq lists it as uncharacterized. The record is from RefSeq and is a predicted model, not a curated record. The transcript has 3 exons. Lineage: Eukaryota; Metazoa; Chordata; Mammalia; Carnivora; Canidae.